Molecule: long non-coding RNA, 526 nt
Filed under: Prunus dulcis (almond)
Lineage: Eukaryota; Viridiplantae; Streptophyta; Magnoliopsida; Rosales; Rosaceae
Description: sRNA ncRNA
Source: RNAcentral
AAGGAGAUGCAGAAAUUACUGAGUACCAGAAAGGUUACAAAAGCUGAUGAUUCACACCCACGUUAUGUGCUUCAAAAUUUGCCAACAAAGAAAAAAUCCCCAGCCAGACUGCCCAAGAAAAUUAUUAAGCCAGCACUCCUCUAUAGCAAAUUGCAAAUAUCAUAAAUGCUUCUCACUUUGUUGCUGGCAAAACAUGAAGCAACUAAGACAAAGCAAAGCCAGCACCUCAAUUGGCAGUAUGAUGGCCCUCUCAAAUUAUGUGAGUCUGCAAAGGGAAAUAUGCAAAGCCUUAGAAAUUUCAAUCAAAUUCGAAAGAAAAGAAUGCACAAAGCAUCAGCAAGCAAAAAAAAAACCAGCAAAAGAAAAAAUGUCUCACUAAGAAGCCUUCUGUGUAGCGGCUGUUGAAGAACCCAAAAGCAACAUAAGCCAAGAACAAAGAAAGCCUUCCUGUCAAGUCAAUACAAAACCAAAGAUGAGUAUUUUUUUUAAUUAUCCGAAGGACUCUAAACACAUAAUGGGUAAAGAC